GCUCAGAAGGAACGCUGGCAGCGUGCAUAACACAUGCAAGUCGAACGAUGAAGCAUUCUUCGGAAUGUGGAAGAGUGGCGAACGGGUGAGGAACACGUAAGAAUCUGCCCCUCGGUCGGGGACAACUUUUGGAAACGAAAGCUAAUACCCGAUACGCUGUGGAGUGAAAGAAUUUCGCCGAGGGAUGAUCUUGCGUCUGAUUAGCUAGUUGGUGCGGUAAUGGCGCACCAAGGCGACGAUCAGUAGCUGGUCUGAGAGGAUGAACAGCCACAUUGGAACUGAGACACGGUCCAAACUCCUACGGGAGGCAGCAGUGGGGAAUUUUCCGCAAUGGACGAAAGUCUGACGGAGCGACGCUGCGUGAAGGAUGACGGCCUGCGGGUUGUAAACUUCUUUUCUCGAAGAAGAAGCUCUGACGGUAUUCGAGGAAUAAGCAUCGGCUAACUCCGUGCCAGCAGCCGCGGUAAGACGGAGGAUGCAAGUGUUAUUCGGAAUGAUUGGGCGUAAAGCGUCUGUAGGCUGUAUAGAAAGUCUUUUGUUAAAUGCCUCGGCUCAACCGAGAUCCAGCAAAGGAAACUUCUAUACUUGAGGUAAGUAGAGGUACAGGGAAUUCCCGGUGGAGCGGUGAAAUGCGUAGAUAUCGGGAGGAACACCAAUAUGGCGAAGGCACUGUACUGGGCUUUACCUGACGCUCAGAGACGAAAGCUAAAGGAGUGAUUAGGAUUAGAUACCCUAGUAAUUUUAGCCGUAAACGAUGAAAACUCACUGCCGAGCGAAAUACAACGAGCGGUGGUCAAGCUAACGCGUGAAGUUUUCCGCCUGGGGAUUAC
RNAcentral lists this ribosomal RNA (830 nucleotides) under marine metagenome. RNAcentral describes it as "bacterial SSU rRNA". It matches the Rfam family "Bacterial small subunit ribosomal RNA", at positions 22 to 883 of the family's 1533-position model. The record is from RNAcentral.